Long non-coding RNA from Podarcis muralis (Common wall lizard), 3625 nucleotides. The record is from Ensembl. NCBI's taxonomy places the organism in Eukaryota, Metazoa, Chordata, Lepidosauria, Squamata, Lacertidae.
AUGGGGUGGGUCUGCUUUAAUGCCUGGACCAGAGUUUUCAGCCCUCCCUUUGCAGAUUCAGACAAAACAAGAGGCAGGACCAGUGGAAAUGUUACUUUAUUACAGACAGUCAAAAAGCCAUUUACAAUGCAGGACAAGGAAGCCAAGUUUGAUGCAGAAAGUGUAGCGGCAGUGCUUUGUUCACAGAUUCAUACUGAUCAGACACGGACACAUAUAUACACAGUCAGCGGGGGUGGGGGGAGAUUAGUAAAUAAGUGGUGCAAAACUACUUUGUGGCAACCAAAGCAGAGCUUGGCAAAUAUUUUGUGCUUAGUUUUGCAACUAUUGGAAGGCAAUUGAAACCUAGAAGUUCAGUUGUUUUGCAAUUUUAGUCCAUGUUUUCAUUUUUUAAAAAAAUUAAAUUUCUAUACCACCUUUCAUCUAAAGAUCACAAAAAUACAUUUAAUAAGGAAACAAGAAACAAGAACACUCCCCCUACUACGCUGUUUAAAAGGCCAGAUUGUUUAAUUAGCCAAAGGCCUCGGAGAAAAGGAAUGUUUUUGCCUGGGCAAGAUGCAGUUUGACUUACUUUCCUUUGUAUAAAACAAGCCUGAAGGAGACCCCCAACCUGCUCACAGGUCCUUGUAUGAUCAGUGGAAACAGUUGGUCCUGGCAAGUAUUAACCACUCUCAAUUCCAAACCUGAUAAUUGCCACCUGCCCAGAUUUUAACUUGUCUGAAUUAAUUUUAAGGUGUAUUUUAAUUAAUUGAUGGCUGUUUUAUGCAUAUUGUGUUGUUUUUAUGAUGUUAGCCACUCUGAUCCCAGCUGGGGAGGGCGGGAUACAAAUAAAUUAUUAUUAUUAUUAUUAUUAUUAUUAUUAUUGAUAUGUAAUGAAGGCACCAGGCAAGCCUCCAUGGAGAGAACAUUCCACAAGUAGGGAGCCACCACAGAAAAGGCCCAUUCCCGUGUUGCUGCUCUCUGGACCUCUCAUGGAGGGGACACAUGAAGAAGGGCUUCAGAUGAUGGAUACAGUGUGCAUAUGAGGAGAGGCAGUCCUGGAUGUAUUGCGGUCCUGAGCCAUUUGAGGUUUUAUAUGUCAAAACCAGCACUUCAAAUUGGCCAGAAACUGAUUGGAGCCAGUGCACUUGGGCCAAGAUUGGCAUUAUAUGUUCAAGUAAGCAACCUGGCCACUGAAUUUUUGCAUUAGACCACAGUCAUAAAUUGGAUGUGCAAACUGGAGCUGAGGAUUCCACAGCCAUUUCUGUAUUACCUGUUCCAUAGGCAUAGUGGUUCUGCUAACAUCUAAGAGAAGGAACAGUGCAAGAGAAAUUAUGUAUUUACAUAAAUGGAGCACCAGAAGUGGCAAAUGGUAGUAGUUUCAUUCAUUGUUAUCUUUCAGUCUUUCUGUCUCCUACUGAGCACAGUAGCUAAAAGUUGGGUGUCACGGGAGCUGGUUGAACCUUCUUUUAAACAGGGCAAAAAUGUUUAGGAAAAGUCACCACCAUGUGCUCACAUGAUGAACAUAAACCUUUGGAGGUUUCAGUUUUCAGUGCUUCUCUUGAUGUGGCAAUUUCUCUACCCAUUUAGGUGCAUUUAGAGUGAAUGCAGAAGUGAGUAAAAUUUACACCGAGGAGGCACAGUGAACACAAGAGUCUGGCCUCUCAUGAAUAAAACAUGGGAUGGUAGGGUGCAGUUUAUUUAUAUACUGUGCCACUUUUUUUUUUAGCCAGAGGCCCCCAAAGAGGUGAACAACAUGAAUGCAUAUUAUUACAAAAUAUAUAUUUACAGCAUUACUACAGUAUAUGUAUACCUAUAAUAAAAGUACGAUGCAUCAAAUAGAAAACAGUGGCAGGAUUUUUAAUUAUCGACAUUGCCGGGGCGGGGGGGGGGGAAUAAAAUGUUCCGCUAAGAGGAGAUCCAAGGAGGUGCUCCAUAUCAGAAGUAGCCUCUUAACAUUCUUAAAACAUGAGUAAAAUUAAGAUGGGAGCCUGGUCUUAAUCAUCCUAACAGAGGGAGGUCCAAUUUUUCGUACCAAGUGGAGCACGUGUACUUUGAAACAGAACCCAUGGGACGCACACUGUCUUGCCACACAGGAGAGAGGAAGGCUAAAAUUUUGGGAAGGAGGCAUAAGGGCUCAGGGAGGGUCCUAGAGCCCUCUCACCUUCCCAAAGCUGGGGAGGAGGGCUGUAAGACCCUGUCAGAGCCCUCACAUCUGGGUGGGUGUCAAAUGAUGCCGAGGUCCACACUUUGGACCACCCUGUCCUAGCAUAAAGGUAAAGGUACCCCUGCCCGUACGGGCCAGUCUUGACAGACUCUAGGGUUGUGCGCCCAUCUCACUCAAGACACUUCCGGGUCACGUGGCCAGCGUGACAUCGCUGCUCUGGCGAGCCAGAGCCGCACACGGAACGCCGUUUACCUUCCCGCUGGUAAGCGGUCCCUAUUUAUCUACUUGCACCCAGAGGUGCUUUCGAACUGCUAGGUUGGCAGGCGCUGGGACCAAACAACGGGAGCGCACCCCACCGCGGGGAUUCGAACCGCUGACCUUUCGAUCGGCAAGCCCUAGGCACUGAGGCUUUUACCCAUAGGUAAAAAAGGUCCUAGCAUAACCUUCAGCAAACUCAACUGCAUAGGUGACGAAUUGGAUGACCCACUGGCUUGAUUCAAAACUCACUCACCUGGUAUGUGCCACCUUUGAUAGGUGAGUAACCCCCCCCCCUCAGCUCCCUGGCAUCCAAUGAUUCCUUUUCAAGUUGCAAUUCGGCACAAUUGUGGUUGUUUUUUUUUUGUCACCGCAAGGUACCAAGGUGAAAAAAAGUACUGAACUGCAACCAGUGUCUGGAAAGGCAGAACUGCCGCUGACAUCAUAAGUUGUCAGGUGAUGGACAGGUGGACAUGGUUUGGACCCAAAAAUGCCAUGGACCUAAUUGGGAUGUGUGUGCCUGCAAGGUGAAGGUUCCACACCGCUGCUCUCAGGGCUGUAACCUCCUAUUUUAAUGUUUAUCCCCUACCAAAUACAGUGGUGCCCCGCAAGACGAAUGCCUCGCAAGACGAAAAACCCGCAAGACGAAAAACCCGCAAGACGAAAGGGUUUUCCGUCUCGGAGGCGCUUCGCAAGACGAAGUUCCCUAUGGGCUUGCUUCGCAAGACGAAAACAUCUUGCGAGUCUCGCCAUUCCCCCCCGCCCCGCUUUUUCCCCCCUUUUUCAAAGCCGCUAAGCUGUUAAUAGCCUUUUAACAGCUUAGCCGCUAAGCCCGCUAAGCCGCUAAUAGCGCUAAAUCGCUAAUAGUGCUAAUCUGCUUAGCCGCCAAUGGGGUUGCUUCGCAAGACGAAAAAACCGCUAGAAGAAAAGAAUCGCGGAACGGAUUCUUUUCGUCUUGCGAGGCACCACUGUAAUAGAGAAAAGGAGAGGGGAGAAAAUACUGUUUGCCGCAAGAGAUGAUGUAUUGAGCUUAGCUGUAUCCAAUAAUUCUAAGGCCCUGUAAUUUUGAAAAGGAGAAUAAAAGAGCCACAGGAGGAGCAACGUGCCCAAAAUAGGUCCCAACCAUUAAAGUCUGAUGUGGCAGUCUAGGGAAACCACUACUGCUCAGAAGGGUUUGAUCUCCCCCACCCCAAAAGCAGGUUAUUUCAAAGAGGCCUCCACUGCCUA